Molecule: ribosomal RNA, 252 nt
Filed under: uncultured bacterium
Lineage: Bacteria
Description: partial 16S ribosomal RNA
Rfam family: Bacterial small subunit ribosomal RNA
Source: RNAcentral
UACGUAGGUCCCGAGCGUUGUCCGGAUUUAUUGGGCGUAAAGCGAGCGCAGGUGGUUUAUUAAGUCUGGUGUAAAAGGCAGUGGCUCAACCAUUGUAUGCAUUGGAAACUGGUAGACUUGAGUGCAGAAGAGGAGAGUGGAAUUCCAUGUGUAGCGGUGAAAUGCGUAGAUAUAUGGAGGAACACCGGUGGCGAAAGCGGCUCUCUGGCCUGUAACUGACACUGAGGCUCGAAAGCGUGGGGAGCAAACAGG